CAGUUAUUAACAGGUUGCAACAAUCGCCAUGUAACGCUUAGGCUGCUAUCAGAUGAUGGCUACGUGCACUUUGUGAUCGGUUUUGAGAAAGGAAACCGAACGGACGAUCCAAAAUGGACCGUGACAGACGCCACAAUGGUCAGCGCGUUGUAUGCCUUACCACAGCUUGCAAAGCGCAACAAAGUUAACGCCACAACACCGGUACCAUCGAUAAUCUUCCAAUCAGCGUUCAACGCUACACAACGUUGUGACGGCAGCCAGAUUAUCUUGUCCGAGUCCAACAAGGUCCACGCUUCAUUGAUAUU
Long non-coding RNA from Dreissena polymorpha, 305 nucleotides. RefSeq lists it as uncharacterized. NCBI's taxonomy places the organism in Eukaryota, Metazoa, Mollusca, Bivalvia, Myida, Dreissenidae. The record is from RefSeq and is a predicted model, not a curated record. The transcript has 3 exons.